AAACGGAGGUCUUACAGAGUUGCAAACUCCCUAAACCAUUGUGAACGUUACCUAUACCGUUGCUUCGGCGGGCGGCCCCGGGGUUUACCCCCCGGGCGCCCCUGGGCCCCACCGCGGGCGCCCGCCGGAGGUCACCAAACUCUUGAUAAUUUAUGGCCUCUCUGAGUCUUCUGUACUGAAUAAGUCAAAACUUUCAACAACGGAUCUCUUGGUUCUGGCAUCGAUGAAGAACGCAGCGAAAUGCGAUAAGUAAUGUGAAUUGCAGAAUUCAGUGAAUCAUCGAAUCUUUGAACGCACAUUGCGCCCGCCAGCAUUCUGGCGGGCAUGCCUGUUCGAGCGUCAUUUCAACCAUCAAGCCCCCGGGCUUGUGUUGGGGACCUGCGGCUGCCGCAGGCCCUGAAAAGCAGUGGCGGGCUCGCUGUCGCACCGAGCGUAGUAGCAUACAUCUCGCUCUGGUCGCGCCGCGGGUUCCGGCCGUUAAACCACCUUUUAACCCAAGGUUGACCUCGGAUCAGGUAGGAAGACCCGCUGAACUUAAGCAUAUCAAUAAGCGGAGGAA
This 559-nucleotide ribosomal RNA is filed under the name Chaetomium globosum. RNAcentral describes it as "eukaryotic LSU rRNA". The stretch from base 189 to 342 matches the Rfam family "5.8S ribosomal RNA". Lineage: Eukaryota; Fungi; Ascomycota; Sordariomycetes; Sordariales; Chaetomiaceae. The record is from RNAcentral.